This 1520-nucleotide ribosomal RNA is filed under the name Klebsiella pneumoniae. RNAcentral's name for it is "bacterial SSU rRNA". It matches the Rfam family "Bacterial small subunit ribosomal RNA". The record is from RNAcentral. Lineage: Bacteria; Pseudomonadati; Pseudomonadota; Gammaproteobacteria; Enterobacterales; Enterobacteriaceae.
AGAGUUUGAUCAUGGCUCAGAUUGAACGCUGGCGGCAGGCCUAACACAUGCAAGUCGAGCGGUAGCACAGAGAGCUUGCUCUCGGGUGACGAGCGGCGGACGGGUGAGUAAUGUCUGGGAAACUGCCUGAUGGAGGGGGAUAACUACUGGAAACGGUAGCUAAUACCGCAUAACGUCGCAAGACCAAAGUGGGGGACCUUCGGGCCUCAUGCCAUCAGAUGUGCCCAGAUGGGAUUAGCUAGUAGGUGGGGUAACGGCUCACCUAGGCGACGAUCCCUAGCUGGUCUGAGAGGAUGACCAGCCACACUGGAACUGAGACACGGUCCAGACUCCUACGGGAGGCAGCAGUGGGGAAUAUUGCACAAUGGGCGCAAGCCUGAUGCAGCCAUGCCGCGUGUGUGAAGAAGGCCUUCGGGUUGUAAAGCACUUUCAGCGGGGAGGAAGGCGGUGAGGUUAAUAACCUCACCGAUUGACGUUACCCGCAGAAGAAGCACCGGCUAACUCCGUGCCAGCAGCCGCGGUAAUACGGAGGGUGCAAGCGUUAAUCGGAAUUACUGGGCGUAAAGCGCACGCAGGCGGUCUGUCAAGUCGGAUGUGAAAUCCCCGGGCUUAACCUGGGAACUGCAUUCGAAACUGGCAGGCUAGAGUCUUGUAGAGGGGGGUAGAAUUCCAGGUGUAGCGGUGAAAUGCGUAGAGAUCUGGAGGAAUACCGGUGGCGAAGGCGGCCCCCUGGACAAAGACUGACGCUCAGGUGCGAAAGCGUGGGGAGCAAACAGGAUUAGAUACCCUGGUAGUCCACGCCGUAAACGAUGUCGAUUUGGAGGUUGUGCCCUUGAGGCGUGGCUUCCGGAGCUAACGCGUUAAAUCGACCGCCUGGGGAGUACGGCCGCAAGGUUAAAACUCAAAUGAAUUGACGGGGGCCCGCACAAGCGGUGGAGCAUGUGGUUUAAUUCGAUGCAACGCGAAGAACCUUACCUGGUCUUGACAUCCACAGAACUUAGCAGAGAUGCUUUGGUGCCUUCGGGAACUGUGAGACAGGUGCUGCAUGGCUGUCGUCAGCUCGUGUUGUGAAAUGUUGGGUUAAGUCCCGCAACGAGCGCAACCCUUAUCCUUUGUUGCCAGCGGUUCGGCCGGGAACUCAAAGGAGACUGCCAGUGAUAAACUGGAGGAAGGUGGGGAUGACGUCAAGUCAUCAUGGCCCUUACGACCAGGGCUACACACGUGCUACAAUGGCAUAUACAAAGAGAAGCGACCUCGCGAGAGCAAGCGGACCUCAUAAAGUAUGUCGUAGUCCGGAUUGGAGUCUGCAACUCGACUCCAUGAAGUCGGAAUCGCUAGUAAUCGUAGAUCAGAAUGCUACGGUGAAUACGUUCCCGGGCCUUGUACACACCGCCCGUCACACCAUGGGAGUGGGUUGCAAAAGAAGUAGGUAGCUUAACCUUCGGGAGGGCGCUUACCACUUUGUGAUUCAUGACUGGGGUGAAGUCGUAACAAGGUAACCGUAGGGGAACCUGCGGUUG